CUGAUUAAACUUGUUAUGUUCACAACAAAUUAUUUCAAUUCAGUUUUCGCGUAAGCACAAAUUCAGGAGCUAUCAAUGCGCUAAUGAAAUUUCUACAAUUUCUUAUAAUUUUCUCUUAAUCUUCCUGGUAAAAUGUGUCGGUAAAAAAAUUAUAUUAAUCCUUACACAAUAUUUUUAAUGUGUUCUAAUAGCGAAAACAUUUAUUAGUCUUCGAGGUUUAACCCGAGGUGGUUGGCGGUUAUGCGGUAUGCGGGUUAUCAAGGUGGACGAGGAGGAGGACAAGGGGGAGGAGGACGAGGAAGACGAGGAGAACGAGGAUUUCUGAACGACAUAACCCGAGGUGGUUAGCGGUGGUCGUUGGAGGUGGUCGGAGGUGGUUGCGGGUGAUCGAGCGUGACGAGGAGAAAGACAAGGAGGAGAAGGACGAGGAUUUGUGCAUGGUAUAACCCGAGGUGGUUAUCGGUGGUUGUUGGAGGUGGUUGGCGGUGGUUGAAGGUGUUCGGAGGUGUUCGGAGGUGGACGAGGAGGAGAACAAGGUGGACGAGGAGGACGAGGAUUUGAGCUCGGUGUAUAUCAUUCUAAAGUAUUGAAUAGAGUAGGAGUAGGAGUAGGAGUAGGAGUAGGAUCAGGAGUAGGAGUAGGAGCCCUACCCUAAACUACCCCCCCCUCUACCCUACCCUACCCACUACUCUACCCUACC
This 700-nucleotide long non-coding RNA is filed under the name Neodiprion pinetum (white pine sawfly). Its description in RNAcentral is "uncharacterized LOC124213870". The record is from RNAcentral. Lineage: Eukaryota; Metazoa; Arthropoda; Insecta; Hymenoptera; Diprionidae.